This is a long non-coding RNA of Gossypium arboreum, 349 nucleotides long. RefSeq lists it as uncharacterized. NCBI's taxonomy places the organism in Eukaryota, Viridiplantae, Streptophyta, Magnoliopsida, Malvales, Malvaceae. The transcript is spliced from 4 exons. The record is from RefSeq and is a predicted model, not a curated record.
AAAAGAAAAAAGAAAUGAAAAAAGAUAGAAAAGAAGUAGAAUGAAACGAAACAGAACAAGGGAGAAAAAGAAAGAAAAGAAAGGAAGAAAAGAGAAAAUUAAAGGUUUGAAGCUUGGAAGUUUAAUAGCUAAUGAUGUCUCGGAAAAUCUCGGUUAAGCAAGGAUAAGGCGAAGACAACAGGAGUUAGCUUGGAAACUACGGUAGGUUAAAGACAGAUCGUCGAAUCUGCAUCAUAAGCCGAUCCCGAACUCAAAAAGAUCCGGAAGAUUCAAAUACGAAGCUAGAUCGAGGAAAGGAAAAAGUUCGGGAUUAGUAGAUUUCUAUUGUUUACAAACAAGUAUCAAGGUA